UGGGGAAUCUUGGACAAUGGGCGCAAGCCUGAUCCAGCCAUGCCGCGUGAGUGAAGAAGGCCUUCGGGUUGUAAAGCUCUUUUACCAGGGACGAUAAUGACGGUACCUGGAGAAUAAGCCCCGGCAAACUUCGUGCCAGCAGCCGCGGUAAUACGAAGGGGGCUAGCGUUGUUCGGAAUUACUGGGCGUAAAGCGCACGUAGGCGGAUUGUUAAGUCAGAGGUGAAAUCCCGGAGCUCAACUUCGGAACUGCCUUUGAUACUGGCAAUCUCGAGUCCGGAAGAGGUUAGUGGAAUUCCCAGUGUAGAGGUGAAAUUCGUAGAUAUUGGGAAGAACACCAGUGGCGAAGGCGGCUAACUGGUCCGGUACUGACGCUGAGGUGCGAAAGCGUGGGGAGCAAACAGGAUUAGAUACCCUUGUAGUCCCUGAGCGGGCUGGCAAGGCGCAU
This 447-nucleotide ribosomal RNA is filed under the name uncultured bacterium. Its description in RNAcentral is "bacterial SSU rRNA". It matches the Rfam family "Bacterial small subunit ribosomal RNA", at positions 355 to 825 of the family's 1533-position model. The record is from RNAcentral.